This 45-nucleotide non-coding RNA is filed under the name Schistosoma mansoni. Lineage: Eukaryota; Metazoa; Platyhelminthes; Trematoda; Strigeidida; Schistosomatidae. The record is from RNAcentral.
AUCAAGCUGAUGAGUCCCGAAUAGGACGAAACGUGCGUCCUAGAA